GUUCGUUUAGUGUAGUGGUUAUCACGUUUGCUUUACACGCAAAAGGUCCCGAGUUCAAUCCUCGGAAUGAACA
Molecule: transfer RNA, 73 nt
Organism: Ichthyophthirius multifiliis
Lineage: Eukaryota; Ciliophora; Oligohymenophorea; Hymenostomatida
Rfam family: tRNA
About the family: Transfer RNA (tRNA) molecules are approximately 80 nucleotides in length. Their secondary structure includes four short double-helical elements and three loops (D, anti-codon, and T loops). Further hydrogen bonds mediate the characteristic L-shaped molecular structure. tRNAs have two regions of fundamental functional importance: the anti-codon, which is responsible for specific mRNA codon recognition, and the 3' end, to which the tRNAs corresponding amino acid is attached (by aminoacyl-tRNA synthetases). tRNAs cope with the degeneracy of the genetic code in two manners: having more than one tRNA (with a specific anti-codon) for a particular amino acid; and 'wobble' base-pairing, i.e. permitting non-standard base-pairing at the 3rd anti-codon position.
Source: Rfam